RNAcentral lists this ribosomal RNA (468 nucleotides) under uncultured bacterium. RNAcentral's name for it is "partial 16S ribosomal RNA". It matches the Rfam family "Bacterial small subunit ribosomal RNA", at positions 28 to 507 of the family's 1533-position model. The record is from RNAcentral.
GACGAACGCUGGCGGCGUGCUUAACACAUGCAAGUCGAACGGAAAGGCCCUGCUUUUGUGGGGUGCUCGAGUGGCGAACGGGUGAGUAACACGUGAGUAACCUGCCCUUGACUUUGGGAUAACUUCAGGAAACUGGGGCUAAUACCGGAUAGGAGCUCCUGCUGCAUGGUGGGGGUUGGAAAGUUUCGGCGGUUGGGGAUGGACUCGCGGCUUAUCAGCUUGUUGGUGGGGUAGUGGCUUACCAAGGCUUUGACGGGUAGCCGGCCUGAGAGGGUGACCGGCCACAUUGGGACUGAGAUACGGCCCAGACUCCUACGGGAGGCAGCAGUGGAGAGUAUUGCACAAUGGGCGGAAGCCUGAUGCAGCAACGCCGCGUGCGGGAUGACGGCCUUCGGGUUGUGAACCGCUUUCGCCUGUGACGAAGCGUGAGUGACGGUAAUGGGUAAAGAAGCACCGGCUAACUACGUG